This 253-nucleotide ribosomal RNA is filed under the name uncultured bacterium. Its description in RNAcentral is "partial 16S ribosomal RNA". It matches the Rfam family "Bacterial small subunit ribosomal RNA", at positions 524 to 776 of the family's 1533-position model. The record is from RNAcentral.
UACGUAGGGGGCAAGCGUUGUCCGGAUUUAUUGGGCGUAAAGAGCGUGUAGGCGGCCAGGUAGGUCUGCUGUGAAAACUCGAGGCUUAACCUCGAGAUGUCGGCGGAAACCAUCUGGCUAGAGUCCGGAAGAGGAGAGCGGAAUUCCUGGUGUAGCGGUGAAAUGCGCAGAUAUCAGGAGGAAUACCAGUGGCGAAGGCGGCCUGCUGGGCCACGACCGACACUGAGGUGCGAAAGCGUGGGGAGCGAACCGG